UACGGGGGGAGCAAGCGUUGUUCGGAUUUACUGGGCGUAAAGGGCGCGUAGGCGGCCAGCACAAGUCAGUUGUGAAAUCUCCGAGCUUAACUCGGAAAGGUCAACUGAUACUGUGCGGCUAGAGUGCGGAAGGGGCAACUGGAAUUCUUGGUGUAGCGGUGAAAUGCGUAGAUAUCAAGAGGAACACCUGCGGCGAAGGCGGGUUGCUGGGCCGACACUGACGCUGAGGCGCGAAAGCCAGGGGAGCGAACGGG
This 254-nucleotide ribosomal RNA is filed under the name uncultured bacterium. RNAcentral describes it as "partial 16S ribosomal RNA". It matches the Rfam family "Bacterial small subunit ribosomal RNA", at positions 524 to 776 of the family's 1533-position model. The record is from RNAcentral. RNAcentral also lists the same sequence under 1 other name.